CCUACGGGGGGCUGCAGUGAGGAAUAUUGGGCAAUGGGCGCAAGCCUGACCCAGCAACGCCGCGUGAAGGAUGAAGGCCCUUGGGUUGUAAACUUCUUUUGCAGGGGAAGAGAGCGGACGGUACCCUGAGAAUAAGUCACGGCUAACUACGUGCCAGCAGCCGCGGUAAUACGUAGGUGACAAGCGUUAUCCGGAAUUACUGGGCGUAAAGCGCACGCAGGCGGCUGAGAAAGUCUGACGUGAAAUCUCCCGGCUUAACCGGGAGCGGUCGUUGGAAACUACUUGGCUUGAGGCGAUGAGAGGGGUGUGGAAUUCCCGGUGUAGUGGUGGAAUGCGUAGAUAUCGGGAGGAACAUCAGUGGCGAAAGCGGCACCCUGGCAUUAGCCUGACGCUCAGGUGCGAAAGCGUGGGGAGCGAACGGGCUUAGAUACCCGAGUAGUC
RNAcentral lists this ribosomal RNA (441 nucleotides) under uncultured Caldilineaceae bacterium. RNAcentral's name for it is "bacterial SSU rRNA". It matches the Rfam family "Bacterial small subunit ribosomal RNA", at positions 338 to 795 of the family's 1533-position model. Lineage: Bacteria; Bacillati; Chloroflexota; Caldilineae; Caldilineales; Caldilineaceae. The record is from RNAcentral.